Molecule: long non-coding RNA, 2472 nt
Organism: Carassius gibelio (silver crucian carp)
Lineage: Eukaryota; Metazoa; Chordata; Actinopteri; Cypriniformes; Cyprinidae
Exons: 2
Source: RefSeq, a predicted model, not a curated record
CAAUGAAACAUUUAAUUUUAAUAGAGGAUAUUGCAUAAGUUUACUGAUAUGAAACAAAAAAAAAUUACAUCUGUAAAAAAUUAAUUAACAACUAAUUUAUAAAGGGUCAAUUUAAGUUGAGUAUUGUGCCCUAAUUCAUGCUUAAGCAAUGUUUCAAACUGGCUCUCAAAUCUAAUUUCAGGGUCAAAUUUGCGUCAUGUUGUCCUGAUCUGCAAUGUCAACAUGCGCAGUUGAUUUGUCCGUGCUGUGUGGUAGGGCUGAACGAUAUGGACAAAAUUUCAUAUCUCGAUUUUCAUGCCAGAUAUCUUGAUAUCGAUACAAUACGAUAUGACUACGUGUUAUUUUGCUAAGCACGACCUGCACAACACGUCACUCUGGUUUACAUCGUCUUUUCUGAAUUCAAAAUACUUCCAAAUUAUGGAAGAUGAUUUAUGUUUUGGCAUCAAGUCAGAUUCUGCACUGCCACCGGCCGCAUUCUCCCAUUUUCUUUCUUUCUAAUUUAUCCGCUGUCUCUGUACAGUGUGCAUAGACGUUGGAACAGGGGGGGCUCGGGGGGGCGGCUGCUGUGUCAGAAAAUGUAUUGUUUUUAAGCCUUUCGCACGUACGAUCAAACAGGUGUAAUCAGACUAGGCUGGUCCCUGGAGUGUACGAUCAAGUGCAUCACAUGAUCAGCUGCUAAAUUCAAAUGUUGAAUUAACCAGAGACAGGCGCGCUCGAGCUGUCAUAUACAGGGUCCCCGCGGGUCCUUAAAAAGUCUUGAAAUGUCUUAAAUACAAUUUUCAAUUUUUAAGGUCUGAAAAUGUCUUGAAUCCUGGAAUUUCCCAUAUGAAUGUCUUAAAUUUCAUGUGGGAUCUUAAAUUUCAUGUCCGACUCGUCAUUUUUAUUUAUUUUUUCGACCGCACUUUGACCAGCGUAACAUUUGGGGGCAGCACUUCGUGGGAUCAACCUUCAUCAUUCCAUAGGCGACAUACGAGUAAGUGAUUGAUGAACGCGUUGCGUUGAUGGUUCGCCACCACGGCAGUUUGCGAAAUCGCAAGCAUGGGCAAAGACUAGUGGUGGAAAUUAUGAUUCUUUCUAGUGAUUCGUUCAUUUUCAGUUCGUUCACCAAAAUGAUUCGUUCAGAAUCGUUCACUGAUUCGUUCAGUGACCAUUUCUUCGUAUUACACAAAAUAAGCCAGCAGAUGGCAAAAAAAGUGUAUUAUGUUGUUAUGUCUUAAGUCAACGAACGUAUUCAGUUGUUGCAAAAACUGAUCUGGCUUUAUUAAAAUGUGUGUAUAAUCGCAUUCAAUAUAUAAAGUCUAAUUAAGUUGUUCAGAUGAACAAAGCACAAGGUUUUCUUGCCUAAAUAGCAUUUUAAUUGUUUGGUCAGACAGUUUGUAUAUUAGAUAUAUUCACAUUCAUCAAUCGUGGAUUAAACGUGGAGUUGCUAAAUAUCAAAACAAGCGUAUGUGCACAGUACAGUACCUAUAACUGGGCUUUGCAUUUUUGCGAGAUUGACAUGCUAAAUGGCAGACUGACCCGGUUUACUCUCAUUCAUUUCGUUCACGAACGAGAUAAGCUAUGUACCAGUUCAUUUCAUUCACGAACGACAUGUAUCCGUUCAUUCAGCUCGUUCACGAAUGACAUGUGUGCCAGUUCAGUCAUUUCAUUCACGAACGAGAUUUACUAAAUCAUUCAACUCGUGCACGAACGACAUGUGCUUUGCCGAUUGAGAAACGUGAUUGGUAAACGGUUUGCCAGAAUAUACCCUGACCAUCAGGUCAGUAAUUUCAUUCACGAACGAGAUGUAUCAUUCAACUCGUGCACGAACGACAUGUGUGCCAGUUCAGUCAUUUCAUUCACGAACGAUAUGUAUCAGCUCAUUCAACUCAUUCACGAACGACAUGGGUACCAGUUCAGUCAUUUCGUUCACGAACGAUAAGAUCUCUAGAUCUAGUUCAGACUCAUAUGAAACUCGUUCAUUGAAGGGCGUAUUCGUUCACUACAUUCAACAAAUCAAAUACUCUGUCACAUCUCAUACUCGAAGGCUAUUGGCUCGAGGUUGAGUAAUUCUUUGACAGGAUGAAACAGUUGUUACCCGGUUCACUGAGCUGCGCAUGCGCUGCUUAUAGCGCCGCGCUGCUGUGGAGGGAGGAACUUCACUGAACGAGAAAUAUGAGUCAGUGGAUUACGUGAACGAGAACGAUUCGUUCACCUAAAAGAUUCGUUCAAAAAGAACGAUUCGUUCACGAACGACACAUCACUAGCAAAGACGAUAAAGCUGUGGACAAGAACACGAUUGUCAGGUCUCGCUAUCUUGGUUCUCAGUUUUUGAGCCCCUCAACGGCAGAAGACUUGCUGUAGCACUUUAAGGAGGGCACCAAGGAACUUAAUUUAAGGAACAUGCUUUCUGUGUCAAUGGAUGGACCCACAGUAAAUUGGAAAGUCAUGGAUCUCCUACAACUGGAACAUGCAAUAAAUUUCUGAUCCUGA